GUAGGGUGCGAGCGUUAAUCGGAAUUACUGGGCGUAAAGCGUGCGCAGGCGGCGCCGCAAGUCGAGUGUGAAAUCCCCGAGCUUAACUUGGGAAUUGCGCUCGAAACUACGAUGCUGGAGUGUGGCAGAGGGAGGUGGAAUUCCACGUGUAGCGGUGAAAUGCGUAGAGAUGUGGAGGAACACCGAUGGCGAAGGCAGCCUCCUGGGCCAACACUGACGCUCAUGCACGAAAGCGUGGGGAGCAAACAGGAUUAGAUACCCUGGUAGUCCACGCCCUAAACGAUGAUGACUAGUUGUUGGGGGAGUUAAAUCCCUUAGUAACGCAGCUAACGCGUGAAGUCAUCCGCCUGGGGAGUACGGUCGCAAGAUUA
Molecule: ribosomal RNA, 371 nt
Filed under: uncultured bacterium
Lineage: Bacteria
Description: bacterial SSU rRNA
Rfam family: Bacterial small subunit ribosomal RNA
Source: RNAcentral